Molecule: RNA transcript, 4860 nt
Organism: Camponotus floridanus (Florida carpenter ant)
Lineage: Eukaryota; Metazoa; Arthropoda; Insecta; Hymenoptera; Formicidae
Gene: Lpin
Gene name: phosphatidate phosphatase LPIN2
Exons: 13
Source: RefSeq, a predicted model, not a curated record
GACGAUAAACUUCGGACCGCGCUCGCCUGCGAUUCAGUUUGUUUCAAUCGCUCGUACAUGUCGGACGUAUUCACGCACCGCACACACGCUUGUACACACACGUGCUAGUCACAUACACGUACACACACGCUAUCCACGGAACUGUGUAUAUAUACAUACGCGUAUACAUCUGUGUGUAUACAUACGUAUACAGACGUAUACACACCAAUUCCGCGAUUAGUUCAUGUUGAUAGACUUUGGAACUGUUUCUUCAGUCAAGCAUAGUCAGUCAAACUACUCGAACACGGCGAGUGUUAUUUAUUCGUCCUCAAGGCAGAUUCAGCAUGCUAAAAAAGCUCGAAAGUGAGGAGCGUGGUCGUCGAUCUCACUGAACUUCGCAUUCACGUGCUCGCCGAGAAGCGUCUCACGUUUUGACACUUCGUUACGCUUUUCUCGCGGAGUCCGUGCCGGUUCGAAACGCGCGCUAAAGCCGCGUCUACCGUCGUAUCGACCACCGGGUGACAGCCGCGCCGAUUGGCUCGGCCAGGAUCACGUGGUCUCGCUCAACGUCAGUUUGGAGUACUGUCUGCUGGCGGUGCCAGGCGCACUUAUCAACGUACGCUUGAAGGGAAGAGGAGAACAAAGGAUCCGCGGAGACGGUUUCUCCGCUUUCCUCGUUCGAGUGCCAGGAUUCUCUCGCGUUUUCACCAUCUCGAGAUCGCGUUAAGGAAUUGUGUCUCUUCGAUCGAAAUUCGCGCGAACGAUACGCACUGCGUCAAGUGUCCGCGACACUUUGACAGCUCGCUGUCGCGGUGACGGCGUCGUCGGCGGAUCGUCGUCGAGUUUCAUCGAACGGUGUCAUCGGGACCGAAGGGUAGCGCGAAACUGACAGAGAAUCGUCGACGAGGCGUCACGACUCCUCGACGCGAAACAAAUCCGCGAGACGUGAAUAAUCGCGAUCCUUCGGUGGCUCUUAAUACCUCUUGCUCUCUUUUUCGCGCUAGAGAAAGAGAGAGAGAGGAAUCUUUGAACCGAAUACAGCCGCGAGUACGUCUGUACGCCGCGAAUUUCAAAUAGUAUUCGAGUGAUUUCCGCGACCUUUAGUGCCGCGGGCUUAGGACAUGUACAGUAUGAACUAUAUCGCCAAGAUCAUCAGCAAUUUCCGUCUCUUCUACAACGAGAUAAACGCCGCGACCCUCACCGGUGCGAUCGACGUCAUCGUUAUCGAACAGCCGGACGGCACCUUCACGUGCUCGCCCUUUCAUGUCCGUUUCGGCAAACUCGGUGUACUUCGCUCGAGGGCAAAAGUGGUGGACAUUGAAAUAAAUGGAGAACCUAGGGAGAUUCAUAUGAAACUUGGAGAUUCCGGUGAAGCCUUCUUCGUAGAGGAAGUUAGCUUAAAUGGAUCUCCAACGGAUACUGAAAUUCCACCGCAUUUGGCCUGUUCACCUAUACCUGAUGACAACUGCUUCCCAACAGCAAAAUUCAAUCUCUUAUCAGAUCUGCCUCAAGAACAAAAAGAGAAGAUCCUUAUAGAUUCAGUUCUUUCUAUAGAACGUGAAAAAUGGGAGCAGAUGUCCGCCUUACCACCCGAUCAACGAGAGAAGUUUCUGAUAGAACAGUUCUCAGAUCUUCCUGCGGAACAUCGUGAGAAGUGGCUUCAGAUUGCUUCAUUGACUGUAGAAGAACGAGAUGAAAUGUUUAAGGAAAGUUUUGGCACGAUAUCUCCAGAACAAAAGCAGCGGAUGAUCAGGGAACAAUAUUCCGCCUUGAAAAUGGAAGAUAAAGAGAAAUUGUUCAAGGAAAAUUUCCCAGAGCUUUCGAUUGAGCAAAGACAAAAUUUUGAAAAAGCUUUAUUGAGUGACUGGAAGGAAAAAGAAGAAAACUGGGAAGAAAAACAUGAUAAGAAUGAAGACGAAGAGAUAUUUGAUAUGGAUGCUAUCAAUGAUGAACAGCCAAAAUUACCAGUUUCUUGUCCAAAAUCUUUUAUAGCUGUUACUUCAUCUGAACGAAUUCGCAAGAUCAGCGUGGUAAAUAAUGACUUUAGACCAAUUAUGGAUGAUCCGCAAAGCAGUAGUAAGGAAAAAUCAAGUGACGAAUCAAAUUCAUCUUUGAAUAAGAAAAAUUUGAAAGAAGAAAACAUUGAAGAGGUAAAAAGUAACAAUUCGACUAAAAGGAAACGCAAGAGGAAGAGUGUUAUGAAGAAAAAAGGCUCACAAAGAAAAACUAGCAAUGGUAGCAGCAGCCAAACAGAAAUGAGCGAGACAGAUGUAUUAGUUACCGAGGAAUCAAUUAGUGAAACUGGACCCACGCCAGUUGCAGAAGUUGAAAAGAACAAUACUGUGGAAUCAAUGAUAUGCUCUCAGGAUGCAAUUGAAAAACGUCCUGAAACCGAUUUCCAUUUCUUCAGUGAUUCAGAAAUUACCAAGAACAAAGACUCCAGAUCAUGUUCACCUAUUCAAUCUGACACGGAAUUCGAAGUACGUAAAAUUACACAAGAGGGUAGUGAAAGAGAGGAUGACAAGGGUCAUCAGCAGAGUUGGAGAUGGGGUGAAUUGCCCAGUCCACCUCCAGAACCAGUGCAUAUGUCGCAUAGGAAUUCAUUGAGUUCUUCAACUACAGCUAGUCAGCCAAAUAAAGAUGCACAACGAUCUAUGCUCAGUGGCAUGUUCUCUUUUAUGAAGAAGACUUCUCGCGUAAGACACAAUCCAGAAUCAGAAGGAAUUUAUCUUAGCGAUCUUAAUGCCGACGAAUUGGAUCCUGAAGUCGCGGCUUUGUAUUUUCCUUCUUCGCAUCGAGGUUCGACGGUGAUUAAAGAUGGAAAAGUAGUGGACGAAGAGGACACAGAAUCUGGUAACGGUCCAAGUUUACCUCAAAGCCCCAACAGUGUUGAGGGAGCCAUCGGUGGGCCAAAGUCCCUGGACAGCGAUUUCGAAGAACCAAAGCAUUCUAUAUUCGAUAAUAACAUAGAAAUAAGUAUGUCACUAUGCGGUGGUCUAGACAAUGAGAAUGGUCCUUCCAAGGAGGGUUUUCACGAAAAUUUACUGCAUUUUGAGGACGUUUGUACCGAUCCAAAACUAUAUGAAAAUCCGAAUUUGGUCGUGAGAAUCAAUGGAAAAUUUUACAAUUGGGCUACAGCUUGUCCAAUAGUGCUGACUUACGUCGUUUUUCAAAGACACUUACCGCAACGUGCAAUUGAAAGUCUGUACAUGUCCUUACCAGUACAUGAGGAUAAGAAGCUACAAAGCAACGGCAAGCCCGAGAGUCGUAGCGGAUAUAGUUCUUGGUUUUCUUGGAGACGUUCCACGCAACCUCCUAAGAAAACACAGGACAUUAAUCAAAUCGAGGAAAGUGCCGUGCAGUCUGAACAGAUUCUAGAAACUAAAGUAGCAGAUGAAGAAAUACUCUCUGCUAACAGAGAGGAAAAGACUGAACAACACAUAGAUUUGCCAAGCUCAACAGAAGCGAUAGAAACUUGUACAAGAUUAAUAUCCUCACCAAACGAAACUGUGCUUGCAAAAACUGAAAAAACGCGUGAAGGAGAGGGCGAAGGAUACAGCGGUGGUGAGGAUUCCGAUAGUAAUCAUAACGAACCACCAGGUAUUAAGAUACCUAUUGAAAGAAGACCAUAUUACGAGUCCACGGAGAAAUAUCGUAAAACUUUACGAUUGUCAUCUGAACAGAUUGCAAGUCUUGAUUUGAAGGACGGCGCUAAUGAAGUAGUUUUUAGCGUAACCACCGCUUAUCAGGGUACAAAACGUUGCAAAUGUCACAUCUACAAAUGGAAAUGGGAUGACAAGAUCGUCAUCUCUGAUAUCGAUGGCACUAUUACGAAAUCUGAUGUCCUGGGUCACAUUCUACCGAUAGUAGGCAAAGAUUGGGCUCAAUCAGGAGUCGCUCAGCUGUUCACUAAAAUCAAGAACAAUAGUUAUAAACUGCUAUACCUUUCGGCGAGAGCAAUCGGUCAAGCGGGAGGCACCCGAGAAUAUUUGAGAAAUUUGAGACAAGGAGAUUUGACAUUGCCGGAAGGUCCAUUGCUCUUGAAUCCUACUAGUUUAAUCUUGGCAUUUCAUCGUGAAGUAAUAGAGAAAAAGCCGGAAGAAUUCAAGAUAUCCUGUCUAAAAGAUAUUCAAGCGUUAUUCCCCGAAGGAUCUGAACCAUUUUAUGCUGGAUAUGGAAAUCGUAUAAAUGAUGUAUGGGCAUAUCGAGCGGUAGGCAUUCCUAUAAUGCGGAUCUUUACCAUCAACCAUCGAGGAGAAUUGAAGCACGAAUUGACGCAAACAUUCCAAUCUUCUUAUGCGCGUCAGUGCAAUAUCAUCAAUGAGUUGUUCCCGCCACCAAUGCCAAACAUCUACUGAUAGCGGCAAAACCAUAAAUUUUAUCAGAUGAAUUAAUUAAAUUCAAAUAUCAUACAUAGUAAAAUAUUAAUAAUAUCUUGUUAUAUUUAAUACAUUAUUGUGUUAUGCUUGGAAGACAUUACCACGCAUAAUACAAUUAAUGCUUUAUUUUUCGAUAAUUGAUUUAUUAUUAGUACAAAGUUGACACGCACAUUUUUCUAUGCACGAGCAAUAUGACAAAUUAUAAGAUAAAAGACUCAUUUGCAAUUAUAAAUAUUUAAAUCGAAUAUAUCUCCAGUAGAAAUGCAAAUUAGAUACUGUAGUAUACUAUACUAUUUUUCGGGAUAUAUAUUUGGUCGUACAACAACUUCCGCCUAAUCUUCUUAUGAUUUAGGAUAUUCGAACAUGAGCUUCAUCGUUGACCAUGUGUUCCCGGCAUGGCGAGAGGAUGCAACCGAGGAGUUCAGCAAUUUUGUGUAUUGGCGGGAUCCGAUACCUGAAGUACCGAAACUCGAGGAGUUUUAUGCUCAGGCUCAAACUACCU